CCUACGGGUGGCAGCAGUGAGGAAUAGUGGUCAAUGGACGCAAGUCUGAACCAGCCAGGCCGCGUGCAGGAAGACGGCUCGAUGAGUUGUAAAAUGCAGUUGUAAGAGGGUAAACGCAAAUACGCGUAUCUGUCUGAAAGUAUCGUACGAAUAAGGAUCGGCUAACUCCGUGCCAGCAGCCGCGGGAAGACGGAGGAUUCAAGCGUUAUCCGGAUUUAUUGGGUUGAAAGGGUGCGUAGGCGGUCGGAUAAGUGAGAGGUGAAAUCCCGAGGCUCAACUUCGGAAUUGCCUCUGUUACUGUUCGGCUAGAGCGUAGUUGCGGUCGGCUGAAUGUC
This 335-nucleotide ribosomal RNA is filed under the name uncultured bacterium. Its description in RNAcentral is "partial 16S ribosomal RNA". It matches the Rfam family "Bacterial small subunit ribosomal RNA", at positions 338 to 670 of the family's 1533-position model. The record is from RNAcentral.